UACGUAGGGUGCGAGCGUUAAUCGGAAUUACUGGGCGUAAAGCGUGCGCAGGCGGUUCGUUAAGUCAGAUGUGAAAGCCCCGGGGCUCAACCUGGGAACUGCAUUUGAAACUGGCGGGCUUGAGUGUGGCAGAGGGAGUGGAAUUCCGCGUGUAGCAGUGAAAUGCGUAGAGAUGCGGAGGAACACCGAUGGCGAAGGCAGCCCCCUGGGCCAACACUGACGCUCAGGCACGAAAGCGUGGGGAGCAAACAGG
Molecule: ribosomal RNA, 253 nt
Filed under: uncultured bacterium
Lineage: Bacteria
Description: partial 16S ribosomal RNA
Rfam family: Bacterial small subunit ribosomal RNA
Source: RNAcentral